Solanum lycopersicum (tomato) is the source of this 2237-nucleotide long non-coding RNA. RefSeq lists it as uncharacterized. The record is from RefSeq and is a predicted model, not a curated record. Lineage: Eukaryota; Viridiplantae; Streptophyta; Magnoliopsida; Solanales; Solanaceae.
UUUCUUCCUCUGAUCGAAUCUGUAACCUUCAUUAGCAGAUUCAUUCUGUGGUUUCCCUGAUCGAACUAGAAGUUACCAAGGAACCAUGCAUAGCACUGAAUAAGAAGCCACCUAAUACCCCAGCUAACAUGUGAAAUGGGUGCAUAAGCGAGAUCAAGAAAACUGUGGUUAAAGACUAUUCAUUCAAUUUCAAGAUAAAGAUGAUAUUAAUCCAAAGUGCAUUUUUAAGGAUGAAAACAAUGGUCAUAUGAAACUUAUUCAAUAUUGUUUAAACAAAGUAAGAGAUGAUAAACAGAAUUAAGUUUACCACAACAGAUAAUUUACAGCAUGAAUGGUUAAAACUAGAGUUGUUGAGGUCUCAUAGUUGAGAACCCCUCCAAACAUUGGCGUAUGCGACUAAUUGCAGCGCGCACACGGUAUUCUUUAGUAAAAGGCGAAAGAAUAGUUCGCUUUGUGCUCACUGCGUGGCUGCGUGAGUUUUGCAGUGUCACCACGCUGCAGUUUUAUAUGACGACAACCUCGAAUUUACUCGUUCUCUAUCGAUGUGGGACUCUCCUAGUCGCCUCACUUCUUAUUUCUCUGUCAAAUAUUGCUCUCUUCUUCACCAGUCAUUCAAAUAGAUCAAUCAAUUUAAGCUGCACUGUGCACUUUGUUGUUUGUUAAAUUGAAGAUUUGUUUCGCUUCAGUUUCUUGGUGGAUUCGGAUAUAUCACUGAUCCUUUUGGUUACCACCAAUAUCCCCAUUUAUUUACUAUUUAAUUAUAUAAUACGGAUAGGAACUUCAAUGAUAUAUGGACAUGGCAAUGGGAAGAGGGCUGGAGGCAGCAAAUUUGUUAAGUGUAGUACAAAUGUUCAAAAUCUAUAAUAAAAAAAAAGUAAUAUUGCAUGACUGUUAGAACUUAUAAAUGAUUGAAACUUGAGUUGUUGGAGCUUCAGAAAAGAGAACCCCACGAUAUGCAGUGCACACACGGUAUUCUUUAGUAAAAGGCGAAAGAAUAGUUCGCUAUGUGUUCACUGCGUGGCUGCGUGAUUUUUUCAGACCGACUGUGCUGCAUUUGUAUAUUGCGGCAACUUUUGAAUUUACUCGUUGUUUAUCGAUGUGGUAACCUUCAGAUCGCCUCACUUCUUUCUUGGUGAUUCUGAAGAAUUAUAUGCUCACAAGGUGACUUGAAUUUCCUAUGCAGGUUUGGUUCUGAACUUUGCCCAAAUUACUUACAACUACAUCCAAAUUAACUAUUUAUACAUAUUCAACAGAUUUUACUUGGCUUAAAUAAAAGUUACCUGGUUGUAUAAUAUUGUAGUUCCGCCCUUGACUUUAAGUUUGACCUAAUAAUGGCAUUGAGUUGUGUGAUGAAACACUACUUGUAAGUUAUGGUAUGGUACGUGCAGUUUCUAGUUGUUCAAAUUACAUCUUUGUAUGGUAGCUUUAAACAGUGGCGGAUCAAGAUUUAAAGUUAAUGGGUUCUGAACUAGCCAACCGAAUCAGUAUAUAUACUUAUAUACAUCCAAACUCGUAUCCAAUAUUGUAGCUCUGCCCUGACAUCGAAACCUCUGAAAUUAGUUAUCGUCCCUACUGCCUAAGUUAGUAUAAGUAUUCCUUGCUUUGUUUGACCUCCACUUUAGCUGUGUUUCUGGCAAUCAAUUAACUAACUUUGUUGCUAAGACACAAGGGCAAGUACCCAAAUUGUACCAUUCAAAUACGCAAUGAUAAGUCAAAAUCAAGAAGCUAUAACUAUGGUGUAGAAAUAGCUCAUUAGAAAAAUGGAUACACUUCACAUAAAAUGAGUGAAAGACUUGAAGGAAAAACAAAGGGGGAUAUAAACUAGCAUUUGAGAACAUGGAACAUUUGUUUGUAAUCGGACCAAUAAAUUGGAGUAUGGUUCAAAAAUGUUAAAAGGCUAGAGUUGUUGGGGUCUCAAAGUUGAAAACCCUCCAAAAAUUGGCGUAUGCCACUAAUAGCAGAGCGCACACGGUAUUCUUUAGUAAAAGGCGAAAGAAUAGUUCGCUUUGUGCUCACUGCGUAGCUGCGUGAGUUUUGUUGUGAUAAUGCGCUGCACGUGUAUAUGUCGGCAAUGUUCGGAUUUACUUCUUGUUCAUCGAUGUGGUUUGGAUUCUAAAUUUCAUUAUCUAUGAUAGAAUAGAUGCUUGGAUAUAGCAAUUGCAAUGAUAAAUUGAAUCAAGAAGCUGAAAACUGAAAUCAUACAUAAAUUGAGCAAAAGAAGAUCAAAUGGAAACAAG